AGCAGUAGCCGCGGUAAUACGUAGGGUGCAAGCGUUAAUCGGAAUUACUGGGCGUAAAGCGUGCGCAGGCGGUUCGCUAAGACAGAUGUGAAAUCCCCGGGCUUAGCCUGGGAACUGCAUUUGUGACUGGCGGGCUAGAGUAUGGCAGAGGGGGGUAGAAUUCCACGUGUAGCAGUGAAAUGCGUAGAGAUGUGGAGGAAUACCGAUGGCGAAGGCAGCCCCCUGGGCCAAUACUGACGCUCAUGCACGAAAGCGUGGGGAGCAAACAGGAUUAGAUACCCGCGUAGUCCCUGUCUCUUAUAC
Molecule: ribosomal RNA, 303 nt
Filed under: uncultured bacterium
Lineage: Bacteria
Description: partial 16S ribosomal RNA
Rfam family: Bacterial small subunit ribosomal RNA
Source: RNAcentral